UGGUUGCACUUGCAUUAAAACUUGUUGCAUAAAAUGAUUAUUCUCUAAAGAAGCAAAGGUUGGUACAAGUAAUACUAAAAUAGAGCUGCAUCAAUUAUAUCUUAAGAAUAACUACAUAGGGAAGAAAACAAAGCAUCCUCAUCAUGUUGUUAACUACUACGUAGGGCUUAUCCCUUUUUACUUGAAUAGAACAUAGUGUUUUUAUGUGGUCCAAGCUAAGAAAUUUACAAUAUGGACAAACUAGAAAUUUACAAUAUGUGAUAGACUAUAUAUUCAUGGAAGUGG
Molecule: long non-coding RNA, 285 nt
Filed under: Lupinus angustifolius (narrow-leaved blue lupine)
Lineage: Eukaryota; Viridiplantae; Streptophyta; Magnoliopsida; Fabales; Fabaceae
Description: long non-coding RNA (LANG_LNC002757)
Source: RNAcentral